Molecule: ribosomal RNA, 425 nt
Filed under: uncultured bacterium
Lineage: Bacteria
Description: partial 16S ribosomal RNA
Rfam family: Bacterial small subunit ribosomal RNA
Source: RNAcentral
GUGGGGAAUAUUGGGCAAUGGGCGAAAGCCUGACCCAGCAACGCCGCGUGAAGGAAGAAGGUCUUCGGAUCGUAAACUUCUAUCCUUGGUGAAGAUAAUGACGGUAGCCGAGAAGGAAGCCCCGGCUAACUACGUGCCAGCAGCCGCGGUAAUACGUAGGGGGCAAGCGUUGUCCGGAAUGAUUGGGCGUAAAGGGCGCGUAGGCGGCCUGGUAAGUCUGGAGUGAAAGUCCUGCUUUUAAGGUGGGAAUUGCUUUGGAUACUGUCGGGCUUGAGUGCAGGAGAGGUAAGUGGAAUUCCCGGUGUAGCGGUGAAAUGCGUAGAGAUCGGGAGGAACACCAGUGGCGAAGGCGACUUACUGGACUGUAACUGACGUUGAGGCUCGAAAGCGUGGGGAGCAAACAGGAUUAGAUACCCGGGUAGUCC